RNAcentral lists this transfer RNA (73 nucleotides) under Ailuropoda melanoleuca (giant panda). It matches the Rfam family "tRNA". Rfam says of the family: Transfer RNA (tRNA) molecules are approximately 80 nucleotides in length. Their secondary structure includes four short double-helical elements and three loops (D, anti-codon, and T loops). The record is from Rfam by way of RNAcentral. Lineage: Eukaryota; Metazoa; Chordata; Mammalia; Carnivora; Ursidae.
GCCUAGCUGGUUCAGUUGGAAGAGCAUGUGGCUCUUGAUCUCAGGAUUGUGAGUUUGAGUCCUACGUUGGGUG